Passer domesticus (house sparrow) is the source of this 963-nucleotide long non-coding RNA. RefSeq lists it as uncharacterized. The transcript is spliced from 6 exons. The record is from RefSeq and is a predicted model, not a curated record. NCBI's taxonomy places the organism in Eukaryota, Metazoa, Chordata, Aves, Passeriformes, Passeridae.
UUUAUAAACCAGGGAAGACCAUUUAUUUUCACCGGAAUAUCUUAGAUUUCAGGGGUUAUUGUUGAAUGUGGAGAAUGGAGCUUUUUCUGAAAGAAAAAUAUACAGUGUCACAUCUUGGUUUGUAGGUAUGUCCUUCUUGUUGUGACAGAACUUCUGUCCUGCCUUGAAGCCAAGAAAAAACAUUGAGCCUGCCCCACCUUACUGGGAAAUGCCAAGGCCCAGAAGAGCACCUGCUCCUAAAACUGCAAGGAAUGGUCCCUUCCUUCUGCUUGUGCCAGCCCCAGCAGCAUGGCAGUGCUGAAAUGCAAAUGGAAUGGCCCAGCUCCUGAGGACACACAUCUGCCUGAAACUCACUUGGAGCUCCUGAAAGUCCUGGGUCAUCAAGAAAGUGGUGCUGACUGAAGUCUGCCAACUGCUUCUGAUCUGGCUGAAACUGCAGCUGAAAAAACUGCUCUGAAGUUCAUUCCUGAAACCCAUUCAUCUCCAAGACAGAAAGCAAGCAGGAGGGAAAGAGUGGCUAAGACAAGUCUGAGGAGGCAGAAAUCAUGACUAAGAAGAAAAAAAAGGAGGAUAAUAUUUUCAAGAUGGAAAAGUUAACUUGCAGCUUUCAGAAUGGUCCUUCAGGCUGUCUGAAUGAUGGUUGGGUAUUUGCACUUGUGCGUGCACUUCUGAAUUGCAUGGCAUGAGACACAGGCAUUGAAAGGACUCUGCUCCUGCUCUCCUGGAAGGAGGCAGUGAUCUUCAGAGCCUGACCAAACCCAGCAGGCUGUAACCAAGCUCCAGCCCCAGUUCACUGUCACCAGGGUACAAAACACAAGGAGCCACGCUGAGUUCAUGAGGAGCAAUGGAGCCAUGCUCUUACAUGUUCCUAAAAAGUCUCCCUGUGACUGAGCUACCAGGAGUGGGAACAGAGGAACAGAAGGAGAAGCAGCAGUUUCAGACUUCAGUUCAGCCACAGGUAGC